Molecule: ribosomal RNA, 165 nt
Filed under: uncultured bacterium
Lineage: Bacteria
Description: partial 16S rRNA
Rfam family: Bacterial small subunit ribosomal RNA
Source: RNAcentral
UAGGGAAUUUUCGGCAAUGGACGAAAGUCUGACCGAGCAACGCCGCGUGAGUGAAGAAGGUUUUCGGAUCGUAAAACUCUGUUGGUAGAGAAGAACGUUGGUGAGAGUGGAAAGCUCAUCAAGUGACGGUAACUACCCAGAAAGGGACGGCUAACUACGUGCCAC